RNAcentral lists this ribosomal RNA (1358 nucleotides) under uncultured bacterium. RNAcentral's name for it is "bacterial SSU rRNA". It matches the Rfam family "Bacterial small subunit ribosomal RNA", at positions 28 to 1381 of the family's 1533-position model. The record is from RNAcentral.
GAUGAACGCUAGCUACAGGCUUAACACAUGCAAGUCGAGGGGCAGCAUGGUCUUAGCUUGCUAAGGCCGAUGGCGACCGGCGCACGGGUGAGUAACACGUAUCCAACCUGCCGUCUACUCUUGGACAGCCUUCUGAAAGGAAGAUUAAUACAAGAUGGCAUCAUGAGUCCACAUGUUCACAUGAUUAAAGGUAUUCCGGUAGACGAUGGGGAUGCGUUCCAUUAGAUAGUAGGCGGGGUAACGGCCCACCUAGUCUUCGAUGGAUAGGGGUUCUGAGAGGAAGGUCCCCCACAUUGGAACUGAGACACGGUCCAAACUCCUACGGGAGGCAGCAGUGAGGAAUAUUGGUCAAUGGGCGAGAGCCUGAACCAGCCAAGUAGCGUGAAGGAUGACUGCCCUAUGGGUUGUAAACUUCUUUUAUAAAGGAAUAAAGUCGGGUAUGGAUACCCGUUUGCAUGUACUUUAUGAAUAAGGAUCGGCUAACUCCGUGCCAGCAGCCGCGGUAAUACGGAGGAUCCGAGCGUUAUCCGGAUUUAUUGGGUUUAAAGGGAGCGUAGAUGGAUGUUUAAGUCAGUUGUGAAAGUUUGCGGCCCAACCGUAAAAUUGCAGUUGAUACUGGAUAUCUUGAGUGCAGUUGAGGCAGGCGGAAUUCGUGGUGUAGCGGUGAAAUGCUUAGAUAUCACGAAGAACUCCGAUUGCGAAGGCAGCCUGCUAAGCUGCAACUGACAUUGAGGCUCGAAAGUGUGGGUAUCAAACAGGAUUAGAUACCCUGGUAGUCCACACGGUAAACGAUGAAUACUCGCUGUUUGCGAUAUACAGCAAGCGGCCAAGCGAAAGCGUUAAGUAUUCCACCUGGGGAGUACGCCGGCAACGGUGAAACUCAAAGGAAUUGACGGGGGCCCGCACAAGCGGAGGAACAUGUGGUUUAAUUCGAUGAUACGCGAGGAACCUUACCCGGGCUUAAAUUGCAGAUGAAUUACGGUGAAAGCCGUAAGCCGCAAGGCAUCUGUGAAGGUGCUGCAUGGUUGUCGUCAGCUCGUGCCGUGAGGUGUCGGCUUAAGUGCCAUAACGAGCGCAACCCUUGUUGUCAGUUACUAACAGGUUCCGCUGAGGACUCUGACAAGACUGCCAUCGUAAGAUGUGAGGAAGGUGGGGAUGACGUCAAAUCAGCACGGCCCUUACGUCCGGGGCUACACACGUGUUACAAUGGGGGGUACAGAGGGCCGCUACCACGCGAGUGGAUGCCAAUCCCAAAAACCUCUCUCAGUUCGGACUGGAGUCUGCAACCCGACUCCACGAAGCUGGAUUCGCUAGUAAUCGCGCAUCAGCCACGGCGCGGUGAAUACGUUCCCGGGCCU